CAGCCGCCACGGUAAUACGGAGGGUGCAAGCGUUAAUCGGAAUUACUGGGCGUAAAGCGCACGCAGGCGGUCUGUCAAGUCAGAUGUGAAAUCCCCGGGCUUAACCUGGGAACUGCAUUUGAAACUGGCAGACUGGAGUCUUGUAGAGGGGGGUAGAAUUCCAGGUGUAGCGGUGAAAUGCGUAGAGAUCUGGAGGAAUACCGGUGGCGAAGGCGGCCCCCUGGACAAAGACUGACGCUCAGGUGCGAAAGCGUGGGGAGCAAACAGGAUUAGAUACCCCGGUAGUCCCUGUCUCUUAUAC
Molecule: ribosomal RNA, 301 nt
Filed under: uncultured bacterium
Lineage: Bacteria
Description: partial 16S ribosomal RNA
Rfam family: Bacterial small subunit ribosomal RNA
Source: RNAcentral